GGCCGACUAGCUCAGCUGGUUAGAGCGUCGUGCUAAUAUGCUGUAGUUGAAAGACUCUUAUUACGCGAAGGUCUUGGGUUCGAUCCCCACGUUGGCCA
Molecule: transfer RNA, 98 nt
Filed under: Hypsizygus marmoreus
Lineage: Eukaryota; Fungi; Basidiomycota; Agaricomycetes; Agaricales; Lyophyllaceae
Rfam family: tRNA
About the family: Transfer RNA (tRNA) molecules are approximately 80 nucleotides in length. Their secondary structure includes four short double-helical elements and three loops (D, anti-codon, and T loops).
Source: Rfam by way of RNAcentral